ACGGAGGGUGCAAGCGUUAUCCGGAAUCAUUGGGUUUAAAGGGUCCGCAGGCGGGCUUAUAAGUCAGUGGUGAAAGCCUACAGCUUAACUGUAGAACUGCCAUUGAUACUGUAAGUCUUGAAUUCGGUCGAAGUGGGCGGAAUGUGUAGUGUAGCGGUGAAAUGCUUAGAUAUUACACAGAACACCGAUAGCGAAGGCAGCUCACUAGGCCUGGAUUGACGCUCAGGGACGAAAGCGUGGGGAUCAAACAGGAUUAGAUACCCUGGUAGUCCACGCCGUAAACUAUGAUUACUCGUUUUCGGCGAUAUACUGUCGGAGACUAAGCGAAAGUGAUAAGUAAUCCACCUGGGGAGUACGAUCGCAAGGUUG
RNAcentral lists this ribosomal RNA (369 nucleotides) under uncultured bacterium. RNAcentral's name for it is "bacterial SSU rRNA". It matches the Rfam family "Bacterial small subunit ribosomal RNA", at positions 525 to 896 of the family's 1533-position model. The record is from RNAcentral.